This is a long non-coding RNA of Bos mutus (wild yak), 121 nucleotides long. The record is from Ensembl. NCBI's taxonomy places the organism in Eukaryota, Metazoa, Chordata, Mammalia, Artiodactyla, Bovidae.
GAAUUCUCUCUGGACGUCAAUAAAUAUGGAAAUGCCAUUGGGGAGAUAAGUAGACUGCAACCAAAAGAAGGACCAUGGAUUUGGAAGAUGGAGUCCAGGCUGAGAAGCCUCUCUGGAUGUA